Molecule: ribosomal RNA, 774 nt
Filed under: uncultured Neocallimastigales
Lineage: Eukaryota; Fungi; Neocallimastigomycota; Neocallimastigomycetes; Neocallimastigales
Description: partial large subunit ribosomal RNA
Rfam family: Eukaryotic large subunit ribosomal RNA
Source: RNAcentral
UAUGUGAUCGUCUCUCGCAUAUCAAUAAGCGGAGGAAAAGAAACUAACAAGGAUUCCCCUAGUAACGGGGAGUGAAGCGGGAAGAGCUCAAAUUUGAAAUCUUAAAGGGUUUCCCUUUACGAAUUGUAGUUUAAAGAAGUGUUUUCUGUUGAGGUUUUGGUAAAAGUUCUUUGGAAUAGGACAUCAUAGAGGGUGAGAAUCCCGUAUUUGACCUUUACUUUCAACUUUGUGAUACACUUUCAAAGAGUCGGAUUGUUUGGGAAUGCAGUCCAAAAUGGGUGGUAAAUUUCAUCUAAAGCUAAAUAUUGGCGAGAGACCGAUAGCGAACAAGUACCGUGAGGGAAAGAUGAAAAGAACUUUGAAAAGAGAGUUAAACAGUACGUGAAAUUGUCAAAAGGGAAGCGUUUGACACCAGUGUUGUUUUUCUGAAAAUCAAUUAAAGAACUGUUUAUGCUAAGUUGUUUAGACUUUAUCAGCUAACUGUUUAGUUUUGAGCUUUUCUUUAAUGCACUUUUCAGUUAACAAGUCAACAUCAAUUUCUUUUGCUGUAAAAAAGCUUGAGGAAGGUGGCUUGAGAUUCGUCUUAAGUGUUUAUAGCCUCUUGCCUAUGCAGUCGGAGAGAUUGAGGUCUGCAGCGUAGAUCCUUCGGGGCUAAAUGCAUUUGUGCUAAGUUAUAGCAUUUUAUAGACAACUUGUUAACUAUGAUUUGUCUUGUAGCUUACUCGCUUAUGUUAUUUUACCUACGCUUAGGAUGUUGAAGACUCUACAGAGAUA